This 1346-nucleotide ribosomal RNA is filed under the name uncultured bacterium. RNAcentral describes it as "partial 16S ribosomal RNA". It matches the Rfam family "Bacterial small subunit ribosomal RNA", at positions 28 to 1381 of the family's 1533-position model. The record is from RNAcentral.
GACGAACGCUGGCGGCGUGCUUAACACAUGCAAGUCGAACGGAAAGGCCCUGCUUUUGUGGGGUGCUCGAGUGGCGAACGGGUGAGUAACACGUGAGUAACCUGCCCUUGACUUUGGGAUAACUUCAGGAAACUGGGGCUAAUACCGGAUAGGAGCUCCUGCUGCAUGGUGGGGGUUGGAAAGUUUCGGCGGUUGGGGAUGGACUCGCGGCUUAUCAGCUUGUUGGUGGGGUAGUGGCUUACCAAGGCUUUGACGGGUAGCCGGCCUGAGAGGGUGACCGGCCACAUUGGGACUGAGAUACGGCCCAGACUCCUACGGGAGGCAGCAGUGGGGAAUAUUGCACAAUGGGCGGAAGCCUGAUGCAGCAACGCCGCGUGCGGGAUGACGGCCUUCGGGUUGUAAACCGCUUUCGCCUGUGACGAAGCGUGAGUGACGGUAAUGGGUAAAGAAGCACCGGCUAACUACGUGCCAGCAGCCGCGGUGAUACGUAGGGUGCGAGCGUUGUCCGGAUUUAUUGGGCGUAAAGGGCUCGUAGGUGGUUGAUCGCGUCGGAAGUGUAAUCUUGGGGCUUAACCCUGAGCGUGCUUUCGAUACGGGUUGACUUGAGGAGGGUAGGGGAGAAUGGAAUUCCUGGUGGAGCGGUGGAAUGCGCAGAUAUCAGGAGGAACACCAGUGGCGAAGGCGGUUCUCUGGGCCUUUCCUGACGCUGAGGAGCGAAAGCGUGGGGAGCGAACAGGCUUAGAUACUCUGGUAGUCCACGCUGUAAACGGUGGGUACUAGGUGUGGGGUCCAUUCCACGGGUUCCGUGCCGUAGCUAACGCUUUAAGUACCCCGCCUGGGGAGUACGGCCGCAAGGCUAAAACUCAAAGGAAUUGACGGGGCCCCGCACAAGCGGCGGAGCAUGCGGAUUAAUUCGAUGCAACGCGUAGAACCUUACCUGGGUUUGACAUGGAUCGGGAGUGCUCAGAGAUGGGUGUGCCUCUUUUGGGGUCGGUUCACAGGUGGUGCAUGGCUGUCGUCAGCUCGUGUCGUGAGAUGUUGGGUUAAGUCCCGCAACGAGCGCAACCCUUGUUCACUGUUGCCAGCACGUUAUGGUGGGGACUCAGUGGAGACCGCCGGGGUCAACUCGGAGGAAGGUGGGGAUGACGUCAAGUCAUCAUGCCCCUUAUGUCCAGGGCUUCACGCAUGCUACAAUGGCUGGUACAGAGAGUGGCGAGCCUGUGAGGGUGAGCGAAUCUCGGAAAGCCGGUCUCAGUUCGGAUUGGGGUCUGCAACUCGACCUCAUGAAGUCGGAGUCGCUAGUAAUCGCAGAUCAGCAACGCUGCGGUGAAUACGUUCCCGGGGCU